This 497-nucleotide ribosomal RNA is filed under the name uncultured bacterium. RNAcentral describes it as "partial 16S ribosomal RNA". It matches the Rfam family "Bacterial small subunit ribosomal RNA", at positions 28 to 507 of the family's 1533-position model. The record is from RNAcentral.
GAUGAACGCUGGCGGCGUGCCUAAUACAUGCAAGUCGAGCGAACGGACGAGAAGCUUGCUUCUCUGAUGUUAGCGGCGGACGGGUGAGUAACACGUGGAUAACCUACCUAUAAGACUGGGAUAACUUCGGGAAACCGGAGCUAAUACCGGAUAAUAUUUUGAACCGCAUGGUUCAAAAGUGAAAGACGGUCUUGCUGUCACUUAUAGAUGGAUCCGCGCUGCAUUAGCUAGUUGGUAAGGUAACGGCUUACCAAGGCAACGAUGCAUAGCCGACCUGAGAGGGUGAUGGGCCACACUGGAACUGAGACACGGUCCAGACUCCUACGGGAGGCAGCAGUAGGGAAUCUUCCGCAAUGGGCGAAAGCCUGACGGAGCAACGCCGCGUGAGUGAUGAAGGUCUUCGGAUCGUAAAACUCUGUUAUUAGGGAAGAACAUAUGUGUAAGUAACUGUGCACAUCUUGACGGUACCUAAUCAGAAAGCCACGGCUAACUACGUG